AGUAAGGGCAACCGAGGAGCACAUAAAUAACUAUAAUCUGAAAGAGUGUCUCUUAGAUAUGGGAGGUGUAUGUAUAUAGGGAUAAACUACAGAAAACUCCAAGGUCUUGGUCUGGGAUACUGUAACAAAAUGGAAUGUCAAGAAGAGAAGCCAAUGUGAGAGACAACGAUGCCAAAUUUGGUUUUGAGCCCAUUUGAGGUUAAAUUAGAAGUGUGCUUAAUUUUGUUAAGGGUCUUUUGGACCCAUGCUUCAAGGGUCAAGUGUUAACUUUUCAGAAACAACCUUUAAUGAGUCAGGAUAAAAACCAUCUGGUUCAGGGAUUCUUCUUUCAAAUGGAGGAAAUUCAGAAGAGACGAGAAAUUUCCCACCAUUAUAAGAAUUCCACUGGAGGCAUACUGAAGCAGCUCAGAAAAUCAAUGUAUCCGCUCCUAUCUUUCAUUCCUUUUGUCUUCCUGCCCAUCCAUGAAAGGAAGUGAAAAAGAAAUGUUGCAAAGAAGAAUAGAGAGACGAUAAGGUUUUCGUUCUACAGGCUGAAUGUGCAAAAUGUAAGCUCUCAAAUGAGAUUAAAAAAAAAUGCAGCCUUGCUUAUAAAAGGCGAAUGGGUCCUGGACAAUGCACUACAGACGCGGGUGCCUACAGGAUGUCUUGAGGCAGGUGGGUGGAAGUGUGAGGAAGCCACCUGGAAGAGGGAGGACAGGGCCCAAAUCAGACACAGCUCUCCAUCCUCCCUAAACAGGCUCGCCUAAGUGACACUUCCUUGUGUCCCAGGAAGUGACGAUCAGCCAGUGUAGAUGUUGUGACUCGCGGGUCUCACCCACUCCGAGGGUGCUGCAGGGCGCCCAGAGCGAGACGUCUUCCGCCGGCCCCAUUCCCGAAGAGGCCGCGCCG
RNAcentral lists this long non-coding RNA (888 nucleotides) under Homo sapiens (human). Its description in RNAcentral is "HSALNT0022253". The record is from RNAcentral. Lineage: Eukaryota; Metazoa; Chordata; Mammalia; Primates; Hominidae.